Molecule: ribosomal RNA, 771 nt
Filed under: uncultured marine microorganism
Description: bacterial SSU rRNA
Rfam family: Bacterial small subunit ribosomal RNA
Source: RNAcentral
AGAGUUUGAUCAUGGCUCAGAUUGAACGCUGGCGGCAGGCCUAACACAUGCAAGUCGAACGGUAGCAUUUCUAGCUUGCUAGAAGAUGACGAGUGGCGGACGGGUGAGUAAUGCUUGGGAACUUGCCUUUGCGAGGGGGAUAACAGUUGGAAACGACUGCUAAUACCGCAUAAUGUCCUCGGACCAAACGGGGCUUAGGCUCCGGCGCAAAGAGAGGCCCAAGUGAGAUUAGCUAGUUGGUAAGGUAACGGCUUACCAAGGCGACGAUCUCUAGCUGUUCUGAGAGGAAGAUCAGCCACACUGGGACUGAGACACGGCCCAGACUCCUACGGGAGGCAGCAGUGGGGAAUAUUGCACAAUGGGGGAAACCCUGAUGCAGCCAUGCCGCGUGUGUGAAGAAGGCCUUCGGGUUGUAAAGCACCUUCAGUUGUGAGGAAAAGUUAGUAGUUAAUACCUGCUAGCCGUGACGUUAAUAACAGAAGAAGCACCGGCUAACUCCGUGCCAGCAGCCGCGGUAAUACGGAGGGUGCGAGCGAUAAUCGGAAUUACUGGGCGUAAAGCGCACGCAGGCGGUUUGUUAAGCUAGAUGUGAAAGCCCCGGGCUCAACCUGGGAUGGUCAUUUAGAACUGGCAGACUAGAGUCUUGGAGAGGGGAGUGGAAUUCCAGGUGUAGCGGUGAAAUGCGUAGAUAUCUGGAGGAACAUCAGUGGCGAAGGCGACUCCCUGGCCAAAGACUGACGCUCAUGUGCGAAAGUGUGGGUAGCGAACAGG